Peromyscus eremicus (cactus mouse) is the source of this 968-nucleotide long non-coding RNA. RefSeq lists it as uncharacterized. NCBI's taxonomy places the organism in Eukaryota, Metazoa, Chordata, Mammalia, Rodentia, Cricetidae. The record is from RefSeq and is a predicted model, not a curated record. The transcript is spliced from 2 exons.
AUUAAUUCCUUUUGGCAAAGUAACGGGUUCCGUUUUAAAGAACGACUUAUUUGUGUCCCUUGUGGAGGAUGGAGAAGCAGACUUUACUUAGUGGAACUGUAUUCGGUGUGACAGGCAUAGGGACCGUCUACCAGAGUGUGUCAGCGAAUGAGGGCUUCGGCUCAACUCAAGCAAGGACAAGUGGAGAUUUGUAACUGACGUGUAGGGGCGAGUGGGUAUGGAAGGAAGCAUCGAGAGUAAGCAGUUUCUAGCCAAACAGACUCCCGGGCGUUAUUGCCGAAGACAGAUGGAGGCGCUGAGACGUCAGGAACAGAAAGACACCACGCUGCGGAUCCUUGCUACGUCCUCUACCCGCUUUCAUCUCCUGCCCUCCUUUUUUCUUUCCAGCAGUCUUUCCUCUUGUUUUCAUGUCUUUCUUUGUUUUGAUUUUUAUGACUUACUGAGCUUAGCUACAGUGUUGGCGCGAGCAUGGGUGUGGGGUUAUUUACCGGGUACCGGCAGCUCACCCAAGUUACACCACUGGAGAAACGACUCCUCCUGCCCGAGCCCAGCCGCCGCCAGCUCAACAACGAGAGCAGAGAGGGGAGCUCCUGACCCGGCUACUCAGAAGGGACUCGGAAACGGAUUCAAGCUUUGGCUUUAGGGGAGAACACUGGCUUGGCUUUUCCAGCUUCAGGAGGCCAUACACCAGCUGGGUGUGGCUCUUCGUCUUCUAAGCCCGAACUCUAGCCUUCUGAUCACGGUUUCUGCUCUGACUGUCCCCUUCCUCCUUCACGUGUGAUGACCUGAGCCCACCUGGAUGACCCAGGACAAUCUCUCAGUCCCCAAAGUCUAAGGUGACAUUUCCAGAAGCUGGAAAGCAGGGAGUGGGCAUGACCGCUUUUCAUUUUCAUUUUAUUUUAAAAUUAUUAGGCCCGUGCCACCACACCUGGCUUAUUUUAUUAUUAAACAUUAUUAUUACGUUAUGA